RNAcentral lists this ribosomal RNA (268 nucleotides) under uncultured bacterium. Its description in RNAcentral is "partial 16S ribosomal RNA". It matches the Rfam family "Bacterial small subunit ribosomal RNA", at positions 333 to 593 of the family's 1533-position model. The record is from RNAcentral.
GAAAGCCUACGGGGGGCAGCAGUAGGGAAUCUUCCACAAUGGACGAAAGUCUGAUGGAGCAACGCCGCGUGAGUGAAGAAGGGUUUCGGCUCGUAAAGCUCUGUUGGUAGUGAAGAAAGAUAGAGGUAGUAACUGGCCUUUAUUUGACGGUAAUUACUUAGAAAGUCACGGCUAACUACGUGCCAGCAGCCGCGGUAAUACGUAGGUGGCAAGCGUUGUCCGGAUUUAUUGGGCGUAAAGCGAGUGCAGGCGAUUCAAUAAGUCUGAU